RNAcentral lists this ribosomal RNA (616 nucleotides) under uncultured Legionella sp. Its description in RNAcentral is "bacterial SSU rRNA". It matches the Rfam family "Bacterial small subunit ribosomal RNA", at positions 242 to 849 of the family's 1533-position model. Lineage: Bacteria; Pseudomonadati; Pseudomonadota; Gammaproteobacteria; Legionellales; Legionellaceae. The record is from RNAcentral.
UAGCUAGUUGGUAGGGUAAGAGCCUACCAAGGCGACGAUCGGUAGCUGGUCUGAGAGGAUGGCCAGCCACACUGGAACUGAGACACGGUCCAGACUCCUACGGGCGGCAGCAGUGGGGAAUAUUGGACAAUGGGGGGAACCCUGAUCCAGCAAUGCCGCGUGUGUGAAGAAGGCCUGAGGGUUGUAAAGCACUUUCAGUGGGGAGGAGGUUUAGUUGGUUAAGAGCUGAUUGAAUGGACGUUACCCACAGAAGAAGCACCGGCUAACUCCGUGCCAGCAGCCGCGGUAAUACGGAGGGUGCGAGCGUUAAUCGGAAUUACUGGGCGUAAAGAGUGCGUAGGUGGUUGAUUAAGUUAUCUGUGAAAUUCCUGGGCUUAACCUGGGCUUGUCAGAUAAGACUGAUUGACUCGAGUAUGGGAGAGGGUAGUGGAAUUUCCGGUGUAGCGGUGAAAUGCGUAGAGAUCGGAAGGAACACCAGUGGCGAAGGCGGCUACCUGGCCUGAUACUGACACUGAGGCACGAAAGCGUGGGGAGCAAACAGGAUUAGAUACCCUGGUAGUCCACGCUGUGAACGAUGUCAACUAGCCGUUGGUUAUAUGAAUAUAAUGAGUGGCGA